UGCUGACGACCGGCGCACGGGUGAGUAACGCGUAUGCAACCUGCCCCUGACAGGAGGAUAGCCCUAGGAAACUGGGAUUAAUACUCCAUGUAUUAUCAAGUAGGCAUCUAUUACAUAAUAAAGCUACGGCGGUCAGGGAUGGGCAUGCGUGCCAUUAGUUAGUUGGUGAGGUAACGGCUCACCAAGGCAUCGAUGGCUAGGGGUUCUAAGAGGAUGAUCCCCCACACUGGUACUGAGACACGGACCAGACUCCUACGGGAGGCAGCAGUGAGGAAUAUUGGUCAAUGGGCGCAAGCCUGAACCAGCCAUGCCGCGUGCAGGAUGACUGUUCUAUGAAUUGUAAACUGCUUUUCUGCGGGAAGAAAUGUACCUACGUGUAGGUAUUUGCCGGUACUGCAGGAAUAAGCAUCGGCUAACUCCGUGCCAGCAGCCGCGGUAAUACGGAGGAUGCAAGCGUUAUCCGGAUUCAUUGGGUUUAAAGGGUGCGCAGGCGGUGUAUUAAGUCAGUGGUGAAAUGCUGCGGCUCAACCGUAGACUUGCCAUUGAUACUGGUACACUUGAAUGUAGUUGAGGUAGGCGGAAUGUGUAAUGUAGCGGUGAAAUGCUUAGAUAUUACACAGAACACCGAUUGCGAAGGCAGCUUACUAAACUAUGAUUGACGCUGAGGCACGAAAGCGUGGGGAGCGAACAGGAUUAGAUACCCUGGU
This 707-nucleotide ribosomal RNA is filed under the name uncultured organism. RNAcentral's name for it is "bacterial SSU rRNA". It matches the Rfam family "Bacterial small subunit ribosomal RNA", at positions 86 to 791 of the family's 1533-position model. The record is from RNAcentral.